Molecule: non-coding RNA, 116 nt
Filed under: Nomascus leucogenys (northern white-cheeked gibbon)
Lineage: Eukaryota; Metazoa; Chordata; Mammalia; Primates; Hylobatidae
Source: Rfam by way of RNAcentral
GCCGGGCGCAGUGGCUUGUGCCUGUAAUCCCAGCACUUUGGGAGGCUGAGGCAGGUGGAUUACCUGAGGCCAGGAGUUCAAGACCAGCCUGGCCAACAUGGUGAAACCUGUCUCUA